Molecule: ribosomal RNA, 475 nt
Filed under: uncultured bacterium
Lineage: Bacteria
Description: bacterial SSU rRNA
Rfam family: Bacterial small subunit ribosomal RNA
Source: RNAcentral
GAGAACGCUGGCGGCGUGCCUAACACAUGCAAGUCGAGCGGGGUUGAGGCGAGAGGUAACUCGAACUUCUACCUAGCGGCGGACGGGUGAGUAACGCGUGGGCAACCUGCCUCAAAGGUUUGGGAUAACAGCCCGAAAGGGCUGCUAAUACCGGAUAUGCCUAUGGCCUCGCAUGGGGCUAUGAGCAAAGGGGAAACCCGCCUUGAGAUGGGCCCGCGUCCCAUCAGCUAGUUGGUGAGGUAACAGCUCACCAAGGCGACGACGGGUAGCCGGCCUGAGAGGGUGACCGGCCACACUGGGACUGAGACACGGCCCAGACUCCUACGGGGGGCAGCAGUGGGGGAUCUUGCACAAUGGGCGAAAGCCUGAUGCAGCGACGCCGCGUGAGCGAAGAAGGCCUUCGGGUUGUAAAGCUCUGUCUGGAGGGACGAACAAAAUGACGGUACCUCCGGAGGAAGCCACGGCUAACUACGUG